Cryptotermes secundus is the source of this 1617-nucleotide long non-coding RNA. RefSeq lists it as uncharacterized. The transcript is spliced from 4 exons. The record is from RefSeq and is a predicted model, not a curated record. NCBI's taxonomy places the organism in Eukaryota, Metazoa, Arthropoda, Insecta, Blattodea, Kalotermitidae.
UCGAAAUUUUUGCGGCGGAAAUAUUUGGUGUGUUUAUUGAACCGAUUAAUAAUUUGAUCUUUGAAGAAAUGUACAGCAACUAAACGUGUAGCCCAUAAGAGUUUAUGAAAGAUUUCAGACCUGUGAAUUAUUAUCCGUUAGCUUUGAAAUAUUUUGAACCAAUUUUUAAAGUAGGGAGUUAAGCCAUGAUAGGUCCAAGUUUAAGAAUGUUAGAUACUUUAAUGAAGGCAGUCACCACAUCGACACGUUACCACCAUUGGACGACCUUUUAAGCUAUCAUCAUUUAAAUAUGUCAAAGUUUGCCGCAUAAUUUUUUAAUACGUAAGUAUGCUGAAAAUAUGUCAGUGACAGAUACAUAGGAUGUAGGAUGCAAAUUUCAAGUAAGACUGACUUUGGGCUAGCACUGAUGUCACCGGUAUCAAGGAACAACUUAAUUGAUUUCAGGGAAAAGGAUCUGCAGUGAAUAUCUUAUUGUAACCCUUGUGUAAGUGAUACUUCAUCCAUUGACAAUGCUAGUGUGUCCAUCAUUUUAUGGGUCAGCUCUGAAUAUUUUAUGUGUUGAAAAUUCUCAAUUCCACCCAUGGACUCUGCUUCAUCCAUAAAUAUCACCAAGGCAGGGAAGUUAGGAUUUCUACCACACUGUUGUAAGAACCACUGGCAGAACAUUACUCACCGAGUAAUGUUGUAGUUACACGCUGCAGAUGGAGUUUCAGUCACAACAUCCAGAAUAUCCUCUGCUUCAGGAGUCACAGAUUAUGCUCACCCCAUUGGGAACACAAGGUGCAAAAUUCCCAUGUUCACAAAGUUGGCAAUGGAUACUUAGAAAUGUUUUCCUAUCUGGACAUGUUCAUCCUGGAUACCUUUCUUGGUACAAUCGAGUCACCACAGCAUUACUGUCUGCCAAACAGAACAUGAAGUGCACAUCAGCUAGCUCUUGAUUUGAGUACAUCAUCUCAGCAACUUGCAGUCACCACAUAAUUACUGUACAAUUCUACUAAGAUUUGGAAGCUAUCUGAGAUUGUGUCAGAUUGAUACCACGACUGUCUUAGUGUAGUGAAUGACAGAAACCAUCUGUGGGAGUUACAAAAUUGAACUUAUCAUUCAGCAGUUUUAGAAAGCCUUGAUUUGGAAACUGCUUUUCCGGAACUAUGUUGAUAUGGACUGUUUUUAUUAUCUUUAUAUGAGGAACCCAUUCCUGAAGUUAUGCCAUGUAUUUUUUAAAUUGUACUCUGUAUAACAUUAAUUCUUUUAUGAAAGGUACUUGAGUUAAGUUACAUACAUAAUAUUUUUGAGUAGGAUUGCUUUUCUGUGUUUCAGCUUCUGUCAUCAGAGUAUUCAUUCUUUUGUUAAUUACUCAUACACUCUGAUAAUAUGUCAUAUUUUGAUUUCAGUGUUAAUUAAGUUCCAUUUUGAAUUAUGAUCCAAGUAUGGUUCCAGUAUUUAAUAUUAAUAUGAUGUAAGAUAUAUAUAAUUGUUCAUUCAGUUUUUCUUUCCUAAUGUAUUAGGCUUACAUCAACAGACCCAGCUGUAGGCAUGGCUACACUUUACUGUUUAUCAGAAUGGGACAGUUCAUAUGUGUGAACUUCUUACUGUGAAAUAAAACAGGAAAAAUUUUGU